UUGAAUGAUCCUUACAAUCCAAACUCUUCCUUUCUUUCACAGUUUGCAUUGCUGGAGAGUUCUUCAGUUGAUGAUGAUCUUGCAAGCUUGAAGAAGGAACUAUCUAGGAGCUCAAAGAAAGGAGAGCUGCCACCUGGGAGAACCGCGGUUGCCUCAAACACAGCAUUCCCUUUCCGAGACUCUGAGAUUGAAAAGGAGCUGAAUGAACUGAGGAGAAAAGCAAGUGAGUUCUAGAACCCAUGUUCACACCCCAAAGAUCCACUUUCUACUCCAAGAAAGUUGUGUUUCUUUCACCAGAAAAUUCUGCAAGUACUUUGCAUAACCAUUAACAGUGUACAUUUACCAGUAUCUCCUGAACAAUGUGAGGUAAUCUUCAGCAUUUUAUUGUUGUACAUGAUCCCCUUACAGACUUUCUUUUACUAUGGAUGAUUUUUUUCAUAAUUCUAUAUCAUCUAAUACCAUAUUUAAGUUUUUGGU
Long non-coding RNA from Vitis vinifera (wine grape), 477 nucleotides. RefSeq lists it as uncharacterized. The record is from RefSeq and is a predicted model, not a curated record. The transcript has 2 exons. NCBI's taxonomy places the organism in Eukaryota, Viridiplantae, Streptophyta, Magnoliopsida, Vitales, Vitaceae.